This 468-nucleotide ribosomal RNA is filed under the name uncultured bacterium. Its description in RNAcentral is "partial 16S ribosomal RNA". It matches the Rfam family "Bacterial small subunit ribosomal RNA", at positions 28 to 507 of the family's 1533-position model. The record is from RNAcentral.
GACGAACGCUGGCGGCGUGCUUAACACAUGCAAGUCGAACGGAAAGGCCCUGCUUUUGUGGGGUGCUCGAGUGGCGAACGGGUGAGUAACACGUGAGUAACCUGCCCUUGACUUUGGGAUAACUUCAGGAAACUGGGGCUAAUACCGGAUAGGAGCUCCUGCUGCAUGGGGGGGGUUGGAAAGUUUCGGCGGUUGGGGAUGGAAUAGCGGCUUAUCAGCUUGUUGGGGGGGUAGUGGCUUACCAAGGCUUUGACGGGUAGCCGGCCUGAGAGGGUGACCGGCCACAUUGGGACUGAGAUACGGCCCAGACUCCUACGGGAGGCAGCAGUGGGGAAUAUUGCACAAUGGGCGGAAGCCUGAUGCAGCAACGCCGCGUGCGGGAUGACGGCCUUCGGGUUGUAAACCGCUUUCGCCUGUGACGAAGCGUGAGUGACGGUAAUGGGUAAAGAAGCACCGGCUAACUACGUG